AUUGAACGCUGGCGGAAUGCUUUACACAUGCAAGUCGAACGGCAGCACGGACUUCGGUCUGGUGGCGAGUGGCGAACGGGUGAGUAAUGUAUCGGGACGUGCCCAGUCGUGGGGGAUAACGUAGUGAAAAUUACGCUAAUACCGCAUACGAUCUAUGGAUGAAAGCGGGGGAUCGCAAGACCUCGCGCGAUUGGAGCGGCCGAUAUCAGAUUAGGUAGUUGGUGGGGUAAAGGCCCACCAAGCCAACGAUCUGUAGCUGGUCUGAGAGGACGACCAGCCACACUGGAACUGAGACACGGUCCAGACUCCUACGGGAGGCAGCAGUGGGGAAUUUUGGACAAUGGGCGAAAGCCUGAUCCAGCCAUUCCGCAUGCAGGAUGAAGGCCCUCGGGUUGUAAACUGCUUUUGUACAGAACGAAAAGGUUUCUACUAAUACUAGGAGCUCAUGACGGUACUGUAAGAAUAAGCACCGGCUAACUACGUGCCAGCAGCCGCCGCAG
This 500-nucleotide ribosomal RNA is filed under the name uncultured bacterium. RNAcentral describes it as "partial 16S ribosomal RNA". It matches the Rfam family "Bacterial small subunit ribosomal RNA", at positions 30 to 523 of the family's 1533-position model. The record is from RNAcentral.